Cygnus olor (mute swan) is the source of this 1404-nucleotide long non-coding RNA. RefSeq lists it as uncharacterized. The record is from RefSeq and is a predicted model, not a curated record. Lineage: Eukaryota; Metazoa; Chordata; Aves; Anseriformes; Anatidae. The transcript has 2 exons.
GUGGGCGCGUUUCCUUUGUCUACCAGCUCCUUUCGGGCAGGAUCGCCGCGCCGAAUCGGGGAGAGCCGCUCGGGGCUCUGCCGCUGCUGCCGGCGCCCGCCCUUGGCAGGGGAGGCUGGCGCUCGGCACCAACAUUGUGUGCGGAUCCGGCUAUUUCCUUUUCGUGUGAUUGAGCUUCGAGCUCCCGCUGGGACAUCAAAGCCAAACGCUCUUCCUUUCUGGCGGGCAGCGGCGCUGCCUGCGUAAGACGGGGAGAAGCGUGUGCGGUCGGUCUGCGAUCCUCGGAAACAGGACGACAGAAAGGAGCGCGGGGCAUUCCCUGCCAGCAUCCUGCCUUGGCAGCGGGGAGGAUAUGGAGAAAUUUGCGUGGAAAGGAGCCGCACAUGGCUCAGGUUUUAUCCUCUUAUCACUGUUAAAGGCUUUUUGUUCACGACACUGUUCUGUGUUAACCUUUUCCCCGGGACACCUUUCGCCGCAGCCGAGCUUUUUGAAUCCUCCCCGACUCCUCUGAUUGCAGGAGCAGGCAGGGCCCAUCCUUCUGGCAGGAGGCUGAAGGACAUUACCCCUCGGGGAGCUCUGGAGCUAAGGCAAGCCGGCUUUAAUGGCAGGAAGGGGAGGGGAGGACAAAGGUGGGGGCUGUGAGACAGGUGCCUGGCAGGAGGGGGGCCGCGCGCAGCCCGCAGCGAGCCACGGGCGGAUGCAAAGGGCAGCGUCUUGGCUCCGGGCGAGCCCGUGACAAAAUUCCUGUUGACUUUGGCAAGGCCAGGAUGUCACGGAGAGGUGACGGAGCUGUCCCGGUGUCAAGGGCAGAGCCAGGAGCCGAGUGCCCGGCCUGGGGUGCCCCUCACACCGCCGGCUAUGGAGACCCCUCCCCAAGCAAAUCCCCAUUUUUUUCAGGCAGGUUGUACCAAACUGGCUCCUCUUCCUGAGGUUUGUGUCGAGGGCCACACCAGCACGGGUGCUAACUGUUCACAUUAAGUAAUGAUAUGAAUUUUUUGAAGCGUGCAGGAGUUUGGCGCGUGGGCUGGAGCCCGGCUCUGCUUGGGGCUGCACAAGCUCAGAAGAAAAAUCCCACCCCGAAGAAAAUCGGAACAUCCUGGGCUUGUUUCUGGACCUGUCACUGUGUGCCUCUGUUCAUCCAUCGGCCUGGAAGGAGCCCAGAGGUCACCUCCUCACCCCGGGGGGAUCGAUCUUGGCAUCCAGAUGGGUCUCAGAGCCCCCCAGAGGUGAAGAGGCCUCCUGGCUUGGUCCCCAUGUGGCAGCUCAGAAGGGCCAGCCAGGUCCCCGCACAGGACCCCGGCAUCACGCACGUGCUGCAAGCACAGCCCACCAGCCCUGCAGUUGUCUGAAGGAUGAACAUUUUCGCUCCGGCUCGUUCCAUAAUAAACCUCUCACUCGAGCUGA